RNAcentral lists this ribosomal RNA (208 nucleotides) under uncultured bacterium. RNAcentral's name for it is "partial 16S ribosomal RNA". It matches the Rfam family "Bacterial small subunit ribosomal RNA", at positions 568 to 774 of the family's 1533-position model. The record is from RNAcentral.
CUCGUAGGCGGUUCGGUAAGUCGGGUGUGAAAACUCUGGGCUCAACCCAGAGACGCCACCCGAUACUGCUGUGACUAGAGUGCGGUAGGGGAGCGGGGAAUUCCUGGUGUAGCGGUGAAAUGCGCAGAUAUCAGGAGGAACACCAGCGGCGAAGGCGCCGCUCUGGGCCGUAACUGACGCUGAGGAGCGAAAGCAUGGGUAGCAAACA